GCCAUAUUCACUUUGCUGCCCAGUGUGUGUGUGAGAAGCUGAACUAACUAAACACUCGACUGUCUUGACAGUCGCCACGGUUUGCCCCGGAAUAACACAACCUACACGAGGCUCUUCUCCUCUUUCCUGCUCCCAGCACGGCACACGAGGCGUGAUAUCUCGACUCCUCCGUCCUGAAUAGCGGUUUUCUUAAAACAAACACCAUUAAUGAAGCAGUGCGCUGACAUCUGCAGGAAACCAACAACUAAAUGAAUGCGAGAAGCAACAUCCCAUCUCAGCCUUCCCACGCUACUGAAUCCUCCCACCACCAGUCAGUGUUGUCAAGGCGAUAUACAGUUGAUGUGCUGUAAAUUGAUUUCCGGGGAGAUGUGAUGGAUGAAUGGAAAAUGAACAUCUUCAUCAGUGACCUCUCCGCGCCGUCGUCUCAUUGCUUCUCCUCACGCCCGCCCAUGAUUGACAAGCGCGCUAACGAGCGCUGUCGCCGGUCCUGUUCUUAUUUCCCUGUGUGGGAAACACGGCGAGUCUCCGGCCCUACGGUAAUGAGCCCUACAAAGAGAAGGAGAGGACAGGAAGGAAGACUCGCCCUGAAGAGAUGGAAGACGGAAUGAAAGAAGUCCAAGUAAAUAAUAUAGAAAGGGCCAACAUGAAAGUAGAUUAAAAAGUUGAGAUUAUUGCCGGCAAAGGAAAGAGGCGUGUCAUUGUUUAUCUGUCUUCUACCCUGAUGGAUGUCUUUCUUGCUGAUGGUUUCAGCUACAACUUCAACCUAAUGGAUUCCUAGAGUGGGCUGGGAUUUCAAAAGACAAAAUGAGUCUUGGCGUAAUGAGCGGUUGUUAUAUAUUUGAUAUAUUAUAAUUGAUAUAGGGUAGCAGAGUGCGGUCCUUAUUGGACUUUAAACGUCUCCUUCAACGCAGACGAGAGCUUCCUUCUAACUUCACUGUUCAACACAAACGCCAAUCAAGGUGAUCACAAUUACAGGAAGACAAAAGAGAGCAGGCUUUUAAACUCUCAACAAAACUUUAUCGAUAUGAUGGAACUCAAGGUCAGGAAGCCAG
This is a long non-coding RNA of Oncorhynchus tshawytscha (Chinook salmon), 1052 nucleotides long. The record is from Ensembl. Lineage: Eukaryota; Metazoa; Chordata; Actinopteri; Salmoniformes; Salmonidae.